RNAcentral lists this ribosomal RNA (2454 nucleotides) under Staphylococcus aureus. Its description in RNAcentral is "partial 23S ribosomal RNA". It matches the Rfam family "Bacterial large subunit ribosomal RNA", at positions 466 to 2925 of the family's 2925-position model. The record is from RNAcentral. Lineage: Bacteria; Bacillati; Bacillota; Bacilli; Caryophanales; Staphylococcaceae.
CUAAAUACUCUCUAGUGACCGAUAGUGAACCAGUACCGUGAGGGAAAGGUGAAAAGCACCCCGGAAGGGGAGUGAAAUAGAACCUGAAACCGUGUGCUUACAAGUAGUCAGAGCCCGUUAAUGGGUGAUGGCGUGCCUUUUGUAGAAUGAACCGGCGAGUUACGAUUUGAUGCAAGGUUAAGCAGUAAAUGUGGAGCCGUAGCGAAAGCGAGUCUGAAUAGGGCGUUUAGUAUUUGGUCGUAGACCCGAAACCAGGUGAUCUACCCUUGGUCAGGUUGAAGUUCAGGUAACACUGAAUGGAGGACCGAACCGACUUACGUUGAAAAGUGAGCGGAUGAACUGAGGGUAGCGGAGAAAUUCCAAUCGAACCUGGAGAUAGCUGGUUCUCUCCGAAAUAGCUUUAGGGCUAGCCUCAAGUGAUGAUUAUUGGAGGUAGAGCACUGUUUGGACGAGGGGCCCCUCUCGGGUUACCGAAUUCAGACAAACUCCGAAUGCCAAUUAAUUUAACUUGGGAGUCAGAACAUGGGUGAUAAGGUCCGUGUUCGAAAGGGAAACAGCCCAGACCACCAGCUAAGGUCCCAAAAUAUAUGUUAAGUGGAAAAGGAUGUGGCGUUGCCCAGACAACUAGGAUGUUGGCUUAGAAGCAGCCAUCAUUUAAAGAGUGCGUAAUAGCUCACUAGUCGAGUGACACUGCGCCGAAAAUGUACCGGGGCUAAACAUAUUACCGAAGCUGUGGAUUGUCCUUUGGACAAUGGUAGGAGAGCGUUCUAAGGGCGUUGAAGCAUGAUCGUAAGGACAUGUGGAGCGCUUAGAAGUGAGAAUGCCGGUGUGAGUAGCGAAAGACGGGUGAGAAUCCCGUCCACCGAUUGACUAAGGUUUCCAGAGGAAGGCUCGUCCGCUCUGGGUUAGUCGGGUCCUAAGCUGAGGCCGACAGGCGUAGGCGAUGGAUAACAGGUUGAUAUUCCUGUACCACCUAUAAUCGUUUUAAUCGAUGGGGGGACGCAGUAGGAUAGGCGAAGCGUGCGAUUGGAUUGCACGUCUAAGCAGUAAGGCUGAGUAUUAGGCAAAUCCGGUACUCGUUAAGGCUGAGCUGUGAUGGGGAGAAGACAUUGUGUCUUCGAGUCGUUGAUUUCACACUGCCGAGAAAAGCCUCUAGAUAGAAAAUAGGUGCCCGUACCGCAAACCGACACAGGUAGUCAAGAUGAGAAUUCUAAGGUGAGCGAGCGAACUCUCGUUAAGGAACUCGGCAAAAUGACCCCGUAACUUCGGGAGAAGGGGUGCUCUUUAGGGUUAACGCCCAGAAGAGCCGCAGUGAAUAGGCCCAAGCGACUGUUUAUCAAAAACACAGGUCUCUGCUAAACCGUAAGGUGAUGUAUAGGGGCUGACGCCUGCCCGGUGCUGGAAGGUUAAGAGGAGUGGUUAGCUUCUGCGAAGCUACGAAUCGAAGCCCCAGUAAACGGCGGCCGUAACUAUAACGGUCCUAAGGUAGCGAAAUUCCUUGUCGGGUAAGUUCCGACCCGCACGAAAGGCGUAACGAUUUGGGCACUGUCUCAACGAGAGACUCGGUGAAAUCAUAGUACCUGUGAAGAUGCAGGUUACCCGCGACAGGACGGAAAGACCCCGUGGAGCUUUACUGUAGCCUGAUAUUGAAAUUCGGCACAGCUUGUACAGGAUAGGUAGGAGCCUUUGAAACGUGAGCGCUAGCUUACGUGGAGGCGCUGGUGGGAUACUACCCUAGCUGUGUUGGCUUUCUAACCCGCACCACUUAUCGUGGUGGGAGACAGUGUCAGGCGGGCAGUUUGACUGGGGCGGUCGCCUCCUAAAAGGUAACGGAGGCGCUCAAAGGUUCCCUCAGAAUGGUUGGAAAUCAUUCAUAGAGUGUAAAGGCAUAAGGGAGCUUGACUGCGAGACCUACAAGUCGAGCAGGGUCGAAAGACGGACUUAGUGAUCCGGUGGUUCCGCAUGGAAGGGCCAUCGCUCAACGGAUAAAAGCUACCCCGGGGAUAACAGGCUUAUCUCCCCCAAGAGUUCACAUCGACGGGGAGGUUUGGCACCUCGAUGUCGGCUCAUCGCAUCCUGGGGCUGUAGUCGGUCCCAAGGGUUGGGCUGUUCGCCCAUUAAAGCGGUACGCGAGCUGGGUUCAGAACGUCGUGAGACAGUUCGGUCCCUAUCCGUCGUGGGCGUAGGAAAUUUGAGAGGAGCUGUCCUUAGUACGAGAGGACCGGGAUGGACAUACCUCUGGUGUACCAGUUGUCGUGCCAACGGCAUAGCUGGGUAGCUAUGUGUGGACGGGAUAAGUGCUGAAAGCAUCUAAGCAUGAAGCCCCCCUCAAGAUGAGAUUUCCCAACUUCGGUUAUAAGAUCCCUCAAAGAUGAUGAGGUUAAUAGGUUCGAGGUGGAAGCAUGGUGACAUGUGGAGCUGACGAAUACUAAUCGAUCGAAGACUUAAUCAAAA